This 292-nucleotide ribosomal RNA is filed under the name uncultured bacterium. RNAcentral's name for it is "partial 16S ribosomal RNA". It matches the Rfam family "Bacterial small subunit ribosomal RNA", at positions 505 to 796 of the family's 1533-position model. The record is from RNAcentral.
GUGCCAGCAGCCGCGGUAAGACGGAGGGCGCAAGCGUUGUUCGGAAUCAUUGGGCGUACAGGGUGCGCAGGCGGCCUGGCAUGUCCGAUGUGAAAGCCCGGGGCUCAACCCCGGAGGCGCAUUGGAAACUGUCUGGCUUGAGUCCGGGAGGGGCCAGUGGAAUUCCUGGUGUAGGGGUGAAAUCCGUAGAUAUCAGGAGGAACACCGGCGGCGAAAGCGACUGGCUGGACCGGGACUGACGCUGAGGCACGAAAGCGCGGGUAGCAAACAGGAUUAGAAACCCCAGUAGUCC